This 301-nucleotide ribosomal RNA is filed under the name uncultured bacterium. RNAcentral's name for it is "partial 16S ribosomal RNA". It matches the Rfam family "Bacterial small subunit ribosomal RNA", at positions 509 to 809 of the family's 1533-position model. The record is from RNAcentral.
CAGUCGCCGCGUGAAUACGAAGGGGGCUAGCGUUGUUCGGAAUUACUGGGCGUAAAGCGCACGUAGGCGGCUUUGUAAGUUAGAGGUGAAAGCCUGGAGCUCAACUCCAGAAUUGCCUUUAAGACUGCAUCGCUUGAAUCCGGGAGAGGUGAGUGGAAUUCCGAGUGUAGAGGUGAAAUUCGUAGAUAUUCGGAAGAACACCAGUGGCGAAGGCGGCUCACUGGACCGGCAUUGACGCUGAGGUGCGAAAGCGUGGGGAGCAAACAGGAUUAGAUACCCGCGUAGUCCCUGUCUCUUAUAU